UACGUAGGGAGCAAGCGUUGUCCGGAUUUACUGGGUGUAAAGGGUGCGUAGGCGGCUUUGCAAGUCAGAUGUGAAAUCUAUGGGCUCAACCCAUAAACUGCAUUUGAAACUGUAGAGCUUGAGUGAAGUAGAGGCAGGCGGAAUUCCCCGUGUAGCGGUGAAAUGCAUAGAGAUGGGGAGGAACACCAGUGGCGAAGGCGGCCUGCUGGGCUUUAACUGACGCUGAGGCACGAAAGCGUGGGUAGCAAACAGG
Molecule: ribosomal RNA, 253 nt
Filed under: Ruminococcus bromii
Lineage: Bacteria; Bacillati; Bacillota; Clostridia; Eubacteriales; Oscillospiraceae
Description: partial 16S ribosomal RNA
Rfam family: Bacterial small subunit ribosomal RNA
Source: RNAcentral